Molecule: long non-coding RNA, 4160 nt
Filed under: Canis lupus familiaris (dog)
Lineage: Eukaryota; Metazoa; Chordata; Mammalia; Carnivora; Canidae
Description: lncRNA (ENSCAFG00000052726.1)
Source: RNAcentral
UUUUUUCUUUUUUUUUUUUUUUUUUUUGAGAGAAAGAAAAUCUUAAGUAGCCUCCACACUCAGCACAGAGCUUGAUGUGGGGCUUGAUCUCACAACCCUGAGAUCAUGACCUAAGUCAAAAUCAAGAGUCAGACGCUUAACUAAGCCACACAGGUACCUUGACUAAAUGACUUUUUAAAGCAAAUAAAGUUUGAAUUGGGGGGAAAAACCUAUUGCCACCUUGUUAUUUUUCUAAAUGUAACCAAUCCAUUACUCUCUAUUACAAGGAAAUUUGAUAUACAGAUGGUCCCCAAUUUAGGAGGAUUCAACUUAUAAUUUUUUGACUUUACCAUGAUGUGAAGGUGAUACAUCCAGUAGAAACUGCACUUGGAAAUUUUAUCUUUUCCAUGGCUAGAGAUAUGCAUGCUGUAUGAUCCCCUCUUGUGAUGCUGGGCAGGGGCAGUGAGCUGCAGCUCUGUUUAGCCACGUGAUCAAGAGGGAAAACAACCCCUACAUUUACAAUCAUUCUCUACCCGCACAACCAUUCGGUUUCUCACUCUCAAUACAGUAUUCAAUAAACUGCAUGAGAUAUGCAACACUUUAUUAUAAUAUAGAUUUUGUUAGAUGAUUUUGUCCAACUAUAGGCUGGACAAAUAUAAGCAUUCUAAGCAUGUUUAAGGUAGGUUAGGCCACAUAAGCUAUGAUGUUUGGUAGGUUAAGGGUAUUAAAUGCAUUUUUGAUUUACAAUAAUUUCAACUUACAAUAGGUUUAUUGGGAUGUAACCCCACCACACAGGAAGAUCCGUUCUCCCUACGUUUGCUGAGGAAACUGAUCCUGAGUGAUAUUUUUCUGAAAAAUAAUAAAAGGUAGGGCAAUCAGAUUUUUCAAAUCAACAUGUUUAUUGUGUCUCCUACUUCAGUGAAGGUCAUCAAGAGUUUACACUAAAUGCAAAGUUAACUUUUGGCUUUGUUUACUGCCUUAUAUUCCAAGAAAAGCAAAGCGGCAACCUGUUGUGUAUUUAGGUCAAGCCUAGGGACAAGCAUAGAUCUAAAAAGUGAAUUUCUUGGAGUAAAAUAAUAAAGGGAUGACAAUGGAAUUCUAGAUUCUUGUUGGGGAGAUGAAGGCUGAAUUGUAGAAUUCACUGCAGCACAGAUUCUUAAAGAAUUUUGCCACAAAAAAAAAAAAAAGAAAAACUAGAUAACGUUGAGCAACUCUGUGUAAAAUAAUUACAAUGGUGUCUGGCAUAGAAGAUUUGCUAUGUAAAUGUUAACUGCAUUUUUUUUAAAGAUUUUAUUUAUUCAUUCAUGAAAGACACACACAGAGAGAGAGGCAGAGACACAGGCAGAGGGAGAAGCAGGCUCCAUGCAGGGAGCCCGACGUGGGACUUGAUCCCAGGUCUCCAGGAUCACGCUCUGAGCCAAAGGCAGAUGCUCAACCCCUGAGCCACCCAGGCGUCCCUGCUAACUGCUAUUUAUCAUCAUUAUUAUAAUGAGACUCACAACUUUAAAAUAAUCAACAAGUUUUUAUUAGACAUGCUGUACCUUUAUAUAAAGCAAUCUGUAGGAUACCAAGAGAAGAAACAGUCCCUGUUUUAAGAAUUUUGUAGUGAUAUAUCUUGAAGGAGAAUAUCAAGUUAAAUUGUUAAAGAAAAAAAUAUUUAGCUUCUUUGAGGCAGCAUCUUUUGCUAUUUUAGUUGGAGUCCUACAUCAAAGGCUGAGAAAAGUUCAUAGCUCAUUCUUUCCCAAACAAGUUAAAAACAGAGAUCACUAAAAUUUAAAAUAAAUACAGUAAUUUAUUACUUUUCAACAAUUUUGGUGUCAUAAAAUCUAUCUGAACCAAACUCCACAUAGAUCUUGAAUACAAAAAUCAAAAUUCUCAGGGAAGUGAGGCACUUGAGUGGGAGAAUCUUUUUUUUUCCCCCCCGAUAAGGGUAGAAUGCCCAAAGGAAAAGGCCAGGAGGAAGACUGCCUACAGACCUGAUUACAUGGAACUGUCCUUACCCUUCAUGUAUCUAUAUUUCCAUUUUUGAGCACCUUUAAUUUUGGAUACCUUCCAGUCUAUGAAAAGAGGAAGAAAAAUACAAGAAAAGAAAGGAAGAGGAAAAAAAAGGAACUGUACUACAGCUGUACUGGAUAAUCCAAAGGUGGGAAAUGUUCUUCAGUGAGUUAAAAUUAUUUUGCCAUCUCUCUGAAAAGAAGUAGGCAAAAAUCUUUUUGAAAAGAAAGCCUUAAUUUCUAGUAGAGAUUGCCCUGGAAAGGUUAACUUUCUCAACUGACAGGCAGGCACACCAAACACUCACAUAAUUUCAACUCCCCUCCAAUAGACAAUAGAAAAUCUAUCUUUGAAGCAUUAGCCCUUUCUUAUCUACCUUAAAAUAUACUCUGUCCCUCGCUCCCCCCAGCUUUCUCUCCUUGGGUGAAAAUUAAGGAGAAAUAUAGUGUGCUUUGUUAACCUGAGGAAAAGUUUUCUACAUGGAGAAUGUAUAAAUUAGAUCACAUGUUUAGAUGGCUAUCUGAUACCAUUAAGAUAAUUUCUGAAUUCUGCAGCUUCUGCAUUCUUUUUUUUUAAGAUUUUUUUUUUAAGAUUUUAUUUAUUUAUUCAUAGAGACACAGAGAGAGAAAGAGAGGCAGAGACACAGGCAGAGGGAGAAGCAGGCUGCAUGACGGGAGCCGGACGUGGGACUCGAUCCCAGGUCUCCAGGAUCACACCCCAGGCUGCAGGUGGCACUAAACCACUGCGCCACUGGGGCUGCCCAGCUUUUGCAUUCUUAAUAAUGGUCAACACAUCAGGACUUUAGAAUACCUGAAUUUUAAAAUACAAAGACUGUACACGUUUGCCUGAGGUCCUUAAUACUUCUGGGGAUCCACUAAGAGCCAUUCCCAUGGAUUGGUAAGACUUAUGAAUAUGUUUCAAAAAAAUUAAGAGAUCUAGGUUUUCCAAAGAAGAUAGAGCAAGACAUGGAGUUUAAUUCUCAAGCCAAUGCUUUCCCUAAAAUAAUCAUGUACUCCCAUAAAGGAAAUAGGAAAUGAAACAUUACAUUUAAUUUAGAUUUGGAGGUGGCCUUCCUUAGCAAUUUAUUCAAGUAUAAACAAUAAUUAUGUAGAAAGGACCUGGUUACAAUUACAAAACCUUAUUAAUUCACAUUAAUCAGUGGGGAACCUAAAUUGCAUUACGAAGAGGUUUGAAUUAUAUAAUAGAAUUACUAAAACUGCUCCCUUGUUAGUCUACCUGCCUCUCUUUUCAUCUCCAGGUUGUCCUGUACACAGUUUACUAGGUAGAAGGAAGAAGGGUUUUCUAUGAAGAAACAGCAUAUACAAAGGCUAAAUGAUCAGGUUUGGGACUUUUUUUUUUUUAACAAUCCUGCAUUUUCUGCCUAUUAUCCUCCUCAUCAUUGUCCUUCUCUAUGGCCUCAGGAUUUUGAAAAUAAAAUGAAAAUAGCCUAGCCUUUAGCACAGGCUGAGUUAAGUAGACUUAGGUUUAAAAAUCUUUAUUUAACUUUAAAGAACUUCUAAGCUAAAAAUUGCUUAGUGACGUAGCUCUAAGUUUGGGGAAAUGGGAUGGGAUUUCUCUUGGUUCUUGGAAGAAAACUUUUGUUUAGGAGCAUGGUUGCAGUGAUAAAGAGCUCUCCCCAAUAACUCUUGGAGUCCAUCUCUCCCUGUCAUUCCAUUGGAUUCUGUUAGUGGGUUUGGUUGUCAACAUAGCUUGAAUCGCGCAGUCCCAUGUUAUGGUUGAAGCACAUCUUGGCUGUUUCACCCAUAAUGUGGUCUCAUACCUGAAUUGAUCAAAGGAAUGACUAGUGAACCACCAGGGUUAUACAAGAUGGAGUUAAAAGGCUUCCAGAUUAACACAUCUUUUCAUUGGAAACAGAAGCAAAAACUCUUUUCUAGCCUGACUGGGUCUGAUGAAAGAGGACAUGAAAGCACUGUAUGUAGUGCUCUACUUAGAUAACUAUCCUAAUGAGUGCUACCUGUUUGCAAUUUGUCUUUGUGCCUCUCGUUAACUUCCUGUGACAUUUACCUUUUCCAGAUUCUGGUUCCCACUGAUGUGGCUUUGGCAAGUAUACGUAAGACAAAAUAAUGAGGUGUGUGUGCAUGGUGGGAAUGAAGGAGUGAUGAAAACAAUGGCUGCCUCAGAAUGGUGUAUUCUGGGACACUAGGGUGGCUCAGCGGUUGAGUGUCUGC